Molecule: unclassified non-coding RNA, 311 nt
Organism: Mesocricetus auratus (golden hamster)
Lineage: Eukaryota; Metazoa; Chordata; Mammalia; Rodentia; Cricetidae
Gene: 7SK
Rfam family: 7SK RNA
About the family: 7SK was discovered as an abundant small nuclear RNA in the mid-70s but a possible function has only recently been suggested. Two independent studies have found that 7SK RNA binds the CDK9/cyclin T complex (known as elongation factor P-TEFb).
Source: Ensembl
GGAUGUGAGGGUGAUCUGGCUGCGACAUCUGUCACCCAAUUGAUCGCAUUGAUCACCAGGGUUGAUUCAGCUGAUCUGGCUGGCUAGGUGGGUGUCCCCUUCCUCCCUCACCGUUCCAUGUGCAUCCCUCCCGAAGCUGCAGGCUCAGUCAAAGAGGAAAACCUUCCCUGAAUAGAGGAGGACCUGUCUUUGGUCAAGCACAUAUGAGUAGUUGCAUUCCCCUGCUAGAACCUCCAAACAAGCUCUCAAGAGGUCAUGGGGAAUGAGAUGAGACACAGCACCCAGCACUGUGCAGGGAACAUGUGAUUCUU